UACGAACUGUGCGAACGUUAUUCGGAAUCACUGGGCUUACAGGGUGCGUAGGCGGCCGAACAAGUCAGGUGUGAAAGCCCUCGGCUCAACCGAGGAACUGCGCUUGAAACUGUUUGGCUCGAGUCAACUAGAGGUGCACGGAACUUCCAGUGGAGCGGUGAAAUGUGUUGAUAUUGGAAGGAACACCGGAGGCGAAAACGGUGCACUGGGGUUGGUCUGACGCUGAGGCACGAAAGCCAGGGGAGCGAACGGG
RNAcentral lists this ribosomal RNA (253 nucleotides) under uncultured bacterium. RNAcentral's name for it is "partial 16S ribosomal RNA". It matches the Rfam family "Bacterial small subunit ribosomal RNA", at positions 524 to 776 of the family's 1533-position model. The record is from RNAcentral.